GCUUGUCUCAAAGAUUAAGCCAUGCAUGUCUAAGUAUAAACUAUUUUAUACUGUGAAACUGCGAAUGGCUCAUUAAAUCAGUUAUCAAAUACGUGAUGGUCGCCUACUACAUGGAUAACCGUAGUAAUUCUAGAGCUAAUACAUGCACAAAGGCCCACUCACGUGGGUUGUGAUUAUUAGAUUCAAACCGGCCUCGUUCUGGUGAUUCAUAAUAAUUGGUCGAACCGCAUGCCCUUGUGGUGGCGGUGAUUCAUCCUUAUUUCUGCCCUAUCAAUUUGAUGGUAGGAUAGAGGCCUACCAUGGUGGUAACGGGUGACGGAGAAUUAGGGUUCGAUUCCGGAGAGGGAGCCUGAGAAACGGCUACCACAUCCAAGGAAGGCAGCAGG
RNAcentral lists this ribosomal RNA (386 nucleotides) under uncultured Cryptomonas. RNAcentral's name for it is "partial small subunit ribosomal RNA". It matches the Rfam family "Eukaryotic small subunit ribosomal RNA", at positions 30 to 432 of the family's 1831-position model. Lineage: Eukaryota; Cryptophyceae; Cryptomonadales; Cryptomonadaceae. The record is from RNAcentral.